This is a non-coding RNA of Podarcis muralis (Common wall lizard), 515 nucleotides long. Lineage: Eukaryota; Metazoa; Chordata; Lepidosauria; Squamata; Lacertidae. The record is from RefSeq and is a predicted model, not a curated record.
AUGAAUUAUUUACUACCACAUUGCCAGUGACUAUAUAUUGUGAAGUUUUAGCAAUUUCAAAAGAGUAUAAACAGUAUUUACGAUUGAUGUCUCAUUUUUUCCUGCUAGGAAGCAAGAAAGGCAGCAAGCUUAAUGGUAAAGUGGUACCAGGAUCAUCCCCAAGGAUCUUCAGGGUCUUUUGAAGAUGGCCAUAGAUGGUUCGGUCGCUGGCUUCUCAAGUCAACAGAAUCUUCUAUGGAUCAGAAAGACACCUGGAAUCCUCUUUUACAUGUCCUCUGCAGACGAAUUCAUCCUGAAUUCUGGGGAAGGAUUGUAGCAACUGGUUUGCAUGAAGAAACUUCCAAGGUUGAGGCCCUGGCUUUUCCAGGAGUGAUGGGAGUCGAUUCAACCUGCCAUGUCUCCAUGCCAAGACAAAAGUGUGGUGGGUUAUUAUCUGAGAGUGACUGCAGACAGUCAGGUUGUGUAUCUACAGCAGUGACUGGAGGAGGAAUGACCACUGGGAGGAAAACACCAUU